UCGUCCUCCAUGCCACCCCGGUGAGGGCUCGCGCCCGCCGAUGUCGGGCCCAGCCUGCCCGCUGCCAGCAGCCGGGCGGCCGCGUUCCGCGUUGCCUGGAAACCGCGGCCGCGCGACGCCGGGCUGGGACCCCUGCCCCCCUCCCGGAGCUUCUCUUCCGCGCAGCGCCCCCCUUCCCGCGCCUCGGGUGCGCUCUCUGGGUGCGCUCUCUGGGUGCGUCCUCGGAGCCCCAGCUGCACGGCGGCAGCGUCGGGGUUCCCGGUGGGAGAUGCCGCCGGGAUCAGCACGUCCCGACCUGCUGACCGCCUCCACGCAGCGUAGUUCGGUCACGCACCGACCGCCCGUUCGCGGGCCGGCUCCUGACCGCGCACCUCCUGGGCGCCGACCUUGGAGGCGCGUCCUUGAGCCGCGCCGCAGGAGGCCACGCGGGGCUUACAGUCCGCUGGUAGAAGGGAAAAGACCACCUAACGAGGGUCCAGAGCGCCGCGCAGUAGGAACGCGAUGGGAGCACACAGGGCUGGCCAAACAAGUGACAAGGUGUGCCUCAUUUCACUAACCUGCACGAAGCCUUUAGACUCCAAAGCGUCUGGGCAUGUUCAAGUUUGGGAAAAUCUCAGCUUUUGGAGGCUAAUUCACAGAGCUCACCACCACCACCGAGCCCAGGUGUCUACCAAGUCUCCAUACACACAUGGCCGUACAAGGACAUGCAGAUAGUGUCCUGGUCUCCAAGGAACUCCCCUUCCAGCAGAAUGGUCACCCCGUGUUCCCAGGACUCCUGCCCCCUGCCCCACCUACAUGCACCUACGGAGGAUCCAGUGUCCAGAAAUAUUCCCUUCUGAACUGCAGCAUCCCAGGGAGCGUCCCGAGCUUUGCUGCCACCUAGAGGAAGGCCUGAAGAAUGUCACCCUGGUGCUUCUGGGGUUAUGCUUGCAAGUAGAGCAACUUUUUACUUUUUGUUUUUUAAUUUUCUUUGCUUUUACUUUUGAAAAGCUACGGCAAGAUAUUGAAAGGUAUCCUUGAUGUAUGGUAGCAAGAGCUAUAGGAAUGAAUAUGUCAUUCCAACAAUAUCAUCACUUUUGCUUGUAUGGGUAAACAUUUCAACUCAGAGGCCUGGGAUUGAGUCGAUGAGGACUUGAAUUUAUCAUUUUACAGAGCGCGUCAAAUUCACUUCCAGUUGGUGAAACCGGAAACCUUAUAUCUAUUUACUAGCGUAAAUGAUCUUUAGGACAUACAUGCACAUUUCCAGGAUUAAAAUUUGCUUUAAAACAAAGUUCAGUCCAUCUGGCCUCCUUUGGUGAGGCCGCCCUGUGUGCUUUGUGC
Mirounga angustirostris (Northern elephant seal) is the source of this 1320-nucleotide long non-coding RNA. RefSeq lists it as uncharacterized. The record is from RefSeq and is a predicted model, not a curated record. Lineage: Eukaryota; Metazoa; Chordata; Mammalia; Carnivora; Phocidae. The transcript has 4 exons.